Molecule: ribosomal RNA, 497 nt
Filed under: uncultured bacterium
Lineage: Bacteria
Description: partial 16S ribosomal RNA
Rfam family: Bacterial small subunit ribosomal RNA
Source: RNAcentral
GAUGAACGCUGGCGGCGUGCCUAAUACAUGCAAGUCGAACGAACAGAUAAGGAGCUUGCUCCUUUGACGUUAGCGGCGGACGGGUGAGUAACACGUGGAUAACCUACCUAUAAGACUGGGAUAACUUCGGGAAACCGGAGCUAAUACCGGAUAACAUAUUGAACCGCAUGGUUCAAUAGUGAAAGGCGGCUUUGCUGUCACUUAUAGAUGGAUCCGCGCCGUAUUAGCUAGUUGGUAAGGUAACGGCUUACCAAGGCAACGAUACGUAGCCGACCUGAGAGGGUGGUCGGCCACACUGGACCUGAGACACGGUCCAGACUCCUACGGGAGGCAGCAGUAGGGAAUCUUCCGCAAUGGGCGAAAGCCUGACGGAGCAACGCCGCGUGAGUGAUGAAGUUCUUCGGAUCGUAAAACUCUGUUAUCAGGGAAGAACAAAUGUGUAAGUAACUGUGCACAUCUUGACGGUACCUGAUCAGAAAGCCACGGCUAACUACGUG